AGCGGGGUUAAUCGGAAUACUGGGGCGUAAGCGCACGCAGGCGGUCUGUCAAGUCGGAUGUGAAAUCCCCGGGCUCAACCUGGGAACUGCAUUCGAAACUGGCAGGCUAGAGUCUUGUAGAGGGGGGUAGAAUUCCAGGUGUAGCGGUGAAAUGCGUAGAGAUCUGGAGGAAUACCGGUGGCGAAGGCGGCCCCCUGGACAAAGACUGACGCUCAGGUGCGAAAGCGUGGGGAGCAAACAGGAUUAGAUACCCUGGUAGUCCACGCCGUAAACGAUGUCGACUUGGAGGUUGUGCCCUUGAGGCGUGGCUUCCGGAGCUAACGCGUUAAGUCGACCGCCUGGGGAGUACGGCCGCAAGGUUAAAACUCAAAUGAAUUGACGGGGGCCCGCACAAGCGGUGGAGCAUGUGGUUUAAUUCGAUGCAACGCGAAGAACCUUACCUACUCUUGACAUCCAGAGAACUUUCCAGAGAUGGAUUGGUGCCUUCGGGAACUCUGAGACAGGUGCUGCAUGGCUGUCGUCAGCUCGUGUUGUGAAAUGUUGGGUUAAGUCCCGCAACGAGCGCAACCCUUAUCCUUUGUUGCCAGCGGUCCGGCCGGGAACUCAAAGGAGACUGCCAGUGAUAAACUGGAGGAAGGUGGGGAUGACGUCAAGUCAUCAUGGCCCUUACGAGUAGGGCUACACACGUGCUACAAUGGCGCAUACAAAGAGAAGCGAACUCGCGAGAGCAAGCGGACCUCAUAAAGUGCGUCGUAGUCCGGAUUGGAGUCUGCAACUCGACUCCAUGAAGUCGGAAUCGCUAGUAAUCGUAGAUCAGAAUGCUACGGUGAAUACGUUCCCGGGCCUUGUACACACCGCCCGUCACACCAUGGGAGUGGGUUGCAAAAGAAGUAGGUAGCUUAACCUUCGGGAGGGCGCUUACCACUUUGUGAUUCAUGACUGGGGUGAAGUCGUAACAGGGGGUACCCGUAAAAACCGGGGGGGGGG
This 987-nucleotide ribosomal RNA is filed under the name Enterobacter cancerogenus. RNAcentral's name for it is "bacterial SSU rRNA". It matches the Rfam family "Bacterial small subunit ribosomal RNA", at positions 533 to 1533 of the family's 1533-position model. Lineage: Bacteria; Pseudomonadati; Pseudomonadota; Gammaproteobacteria; Enterobacterales; Enterobacteriaceae. The record is from RNAcentral.